RNAcentral lists this ribosomal RNA (253 nucleotides) under uncultured bacterium. RNAcentral's name for it is "partial 16S ribosomal RNA". It matches the Rfam family "Bacterial small subunit ribosomal RNA", at positions 524 to 776 of the family's 1533-position model. The record is from RNAcentral.
UACGAAGGGGGCUAGCGUUGUUCGGAAUUACUGGGCGUAAAGCGCACGUAGGCGGAUUGUUAAGUGGGGGGUGAAAUCCCAGGGCUCAACCCUGGAACUGCCUUUCAUACUGGCAAUCUCGAGUCCGAGAGAGGUGAGUGGAAUUCCGAGUGUAGAGGUGAAAUUCGUAGAUAUUCGGAGGAACACCAGUGGCGAAGGCGGCUCACUGGCUCGGUACUGACGCUGAGGUGCGAAAGCGUGGGGAGCAAACAGG